UACAGAGGUCUCAACCGUUGUUCGGAUUCAUUGGGCGUAAAGGGUGCGUAGGCGGCGAGGCAAGUCAGGUGUGAAAUCUCGGGGCUCAACCCCGAAACUGCACUUGAUACUGCCUUGCUCGAGUACUGGAGAGGAGACUGGAAUUUACGGUGUAGCAGUGAAAUGCGUAGAUAUCGUAAGGAAGACCAGUGGCGAAGGCGAGUCUCUGGACAGUUACUGACGCUGAGGCACGAAGGCCAGGGGAGCAAACGGG
RNAcentral lists this ribosomal RNA (253 nucleotides) under uncultured bacterium. RNAcentral's name for it is "partial 16S ribosomal RNA". It matches the Rfam family "Bacterial small subunit ribosomal RNA", at positions 524 to 776 of the family's 1533-position model. The record is from RNAcentral.